Equus caballus (horse) is the source of this 1969-nucleotide long non-coding RNA. RefSeq lists it as uncharacterized. NCBI's taxonomy places the organism in Eukaryota, Metazoa, Chordata, Mammalia, Perissodactyla, Equidae. The record is from RefSeq and is a predicted model, not a curated record.
AAUGAAUUUUUCUAGAUAGUUUUCCAAACACAACACAGAAGGAGAGAAUAGCUAUUUUGGGGCAAAGGAUGUUCUGAGUCCUCCCAAAUCCCACUCUACAAACACUGGCUUCUUUUAUUGAUCUAUAAAGUGGUCCUACUUGUGGAAAUACAGGAAUUACAUUAAUGCAAUGGCUCUUACAUUUUACUACACCUUAGAGUCACCUGGGGACCUUUGAAAAAUCCCAGUGCCUACACUGUAUCCCAGACCAAUUAAAUCAGCAUUUCUAGAGGUGAGCCCUGUGCAUUGGUAUUUUUCAAAAAACUCUCUAGGUGAUUCCAAUAUGCAGUCGAGCUUGAGCACUAGUGCAGUAAUACCCACCACCAACUACUUAGGCAGAAGAGCCCUGUAUGACUGCAGUGAAAUAGGCUUUCUUCUCAUUCUGAGAAUGGUACUUCUGGACACAAAGCCAGAAUUUCAUUCUGAAAAUGUGUUCCUGUGGUUCUGUAAGUACUUAGUAUAAUCCAUACAGGCUAAGUAGUUAGUUGCUAAACUGCAAACACCCAUCUCAUUUCCUCUCAGUCCGCUCCUGGCCAUCUGGUCCUCUGUAUUCCCAUUACAGGGCCAUGUGUGUAUUAAUGAAAUGAUUGCAUCCGAUUACAUCUCUUAUUCAGAGCACAAGAAGAACAGUCCACGUAUUUUGUUCUCCAGCAUCACUGUUUCUGCCAUGAUGUCAAUGAAUACUUUAUUUCUAUUACAUGCAGAAGUGGGAUGGUCUUCAAUAAAGAAAUGUAAUUUUCACUGUUGUCCUUUGAAAUCUGGUGACUCUGGAGAGGACCUGGCUUGUGCUCUGGAUUUCCAUUCUAUGCCCAGAUGCUUCUCUCAACGCCAACUGAAGCAUCAUUUGCAUUAAAAAAAAAAUGCUUUGAAAGCGAAGAGGAGAUGUAGCCACGCUUCCCAGGAUCCCAUUCUGUAGUUCAAAUUCCGCACUGCACAUGGAGCUGGAACUUAUGAAAUGAUGGCCAAGUCCUGUAUGUAACCACUGGAACCAUCUAGAGCCAUUCUUGAGAACGUGCUGAGCGGUGUGGUCUAGUGGAGCAAAAAAAGCCCUGAGCGUGCAGAAGUGGAUGGGACAAUAUUGAGAAUGCAGCUGGGCCACUGCUGGUUGAAGUGGCCUUGGGGAAAGGGACAGGACGGCAUCAGAAAUUGAUGACUCUCCCCUCCUUUUCUAUCCCUCCCACCUAUACACACAUUCCAUCCAAAUGAUGACUCACUUGGUCCAACCCUAAGAAGCAAAGUACUCAGAGGAAAGGAGGAGCCUUCAGAUUUAUUCCUGAAUCACUAAUGAUAUUGUCAGAGGCUCUGGGCAAGAUACUUGACUUUCUUGUAUCCUGGUUUCCUGUCUGUGAGAGUGACCCUGAUGCCAGGCUCCUGGCAGCCUGUGGGGUCUGUGAGAGAUGGUGUUAAAUGAGAGGCUCUCUUGGGUAACUCAGUUCCCACCCCCAAAGUUCAGUGUCUUCAUCUAUAGGGUUGGACUGGGUGUUCUCAGGUCCCUCCCAGCUCUGCCUCUCUCUAUUCUCCAAGCGGGGAACGGGGUAGGGGAAUUUUUGAACUAAACAGGGUGAUGGACAUGACUGUCUCUUCCAGAAAAGGCACAGAGGCUGUGUCAGCAGCGUCUGUGGGGUUUGCCUCAGUUCUCCUUCCAAACUUCUUUCUCCCAGGUGAUUCCUGAGGCCUCUCAAGAAUGCUCCCAACUGACCCGAAAUAUUCACAACUCAAAUCAUCAGGAAGGAUGACUUCAAUUCUGCCUGAAAUCGCCCCUGCAUGUGGUAGGAUGGAGCAAAGAAAUAAAAAUAAAUUACUGAAGGAAAUGAAUAGGAUUGUACUAUCUACAAAAGACGACUUGGAAAGCAGACAAGAAUGAGCAGGGUCUAUUUUAGUAUUGUCACGACUUUUCUGUAUAGUUGAAAUUUUCCCUAAUAAAAUGUUU